Molecule: ribosomal RNA, 499 nt
Filed under: uncultured bacterium
Lineage: Bacteria
Description: partial 16S ribosomal RNA
Rfam family: Bacterial small subunit ribosomal RNA
Source: RNAcentral
AUUGAACGCUGGCGGCAUGCCUUACACAUGCAAGUCGAACGGCAGCACGGGAGCAAUCCUGGUGGAGAGUGGCGAACGGGUGAGUAAAGUAUCGGAACGUGCCCAGUCGUGGGGGAUAACGUAGCGAAAGUUACGCUAAUACCGCAUACGAUCUAUGGAUGAAAGCGGGGGAUCGCAAGACCUCGCGCGAUUGGAGCGGCCGAUAUCAGAUUAGGUAGUUGGUGGGGUAAAGGCUCACCAAGCCGACGAUCUGUAGCUGGUCUGAGAGGACGACCAGCCACACUGGGACUGAGACACGGCCCAGACUCCUACGGGAGGCAGCAGUGGGGAAUUUUGGACAAUGGGCGAAAGCCUGAUCCAGCCAUGCCGCGUGCAGGAUGAAGGCCUUCGGGUUGUAAACUGCUUUUGUACGGAACGAAAAGGUUUGGCCUAUAAGCUGAGCUCAUGACGGUACCGUAAGAAUAAGCACCGGCUAACUACGUGCCAGCCGCCGCAGUAA